Molecule: ribosomal RNA, 460 nt
Filed under: uncultured bacterium
Lineage: Bacteria
Description: partial 16S ribosomal RNA
Rfam family: Bacterial small subunit ribosomal RNA
Source: RNAcentral
CCUACGGGUGGCAGCAGUGAGGAAUAUUGGUCAAUGGGCGCGAGCCUGAACCAGCCAAGUAGCGUGAAGGAUGACUGCCCUACGGGUUGUAAACUUCUUGUAUAAAGGAAUAAAGUGAGGCACGUGUGCCGUUUUGUAUGUACUUUAUGAAUAAGGAUCGGCUAACUCCGUGCCAGCAGCCGCGGUAAUACGGAGGAUCCGAGCGUUAUCCGGAUUUAUUGGGUUUAAAGGGAGCGUAGAUGGGUUGUUAAGUCAGUUGUGAAAGUUUGCGGCUCAACCGUAAAAUUGCAAUUGAUACUGGCAGUCUUGAGUCCCGUUGAGGUCGGCGGCAUUCGUGGUGUAGCGGUGCACUGCUUAGCUCUCACGCAGCUCUCCGAUUGCGCAGGCAGCUUCCUACACUGCCACUGCCAUUGAUGCUCGACAGUGUGGGUAUCAAACCGGCUUAGCUACCCCAGUAGUC